RNAcentral lists this long non-coding RNA (812 nucleotides) under Homo sapiens (human). Its description in RNAcentral is "PREDICTED lncRNA (TCONS_00013236)". The record is from RNAcentral. Lineage: Eukaryota; Metazoa; Chordata; Mammalia; Primates; Hominidae.
CUUUUGUGGGGUCAGUGCCCACAGGGUUGAGCACCACGUGCCUGGCUGGGCAGUGCUCCUGCCAGGGUCCCCUUCUCCACUGUAGGAAACACGGCUGCUCCUGCAGCCGCGUCUGCUCUGCUGCAUCUCCAGCUCCUGCCAGGCAUGGUGUGCGCGGCCCCAAGACAGGGAGUUUCCAUAGAGACAGGGUUUCACCGUGUUAGCCAGGAUGGUCUCGAUCUCCUGACCUCGUGAUCCGCCCGCCUCGGCCUCCCAAAGUGCUGGGAUUACAGGCGUGAGCCACCACGCCCGGCCCCCAGAGCCUUAGUCUCAGAAUCACACCCACCCCACGCCCAGGGCGUCUGUCACAGCUUUCCAAUCCAUGAGCCCAUCAAUCGGACUGGACACAGAUAAACUGGGACAGGACGCCGGGUGGCAAAGGCCGGGAGAGCUGGGCCACUCCCUCCAAAAGGUACCUCAGACCGGGGCUGUGCAGGGCUGCAGGAGACACAGGGGGACCCCGUAUGGCCCGUUAGAGACAGGGUCUCCCGGAUGGCAGAUUCCUGUAGCCUCUCUUCCUCCUUCACGCUUUGUUUCUUAAGGGGGAAAUCGACCAUUGCUGCCUUUCCACAGACAGGUGGGUGAGUACCAACAGGGAAGUGAACUAACAGGGAAAGGCCCUGCCCCCCUCCCAUGCUAGAGUGGCCAUGCGAACGUAAUGAUGGAGCCCCAGUGCAGGGACGCCCCUCUCCUGCCUGGGCCCUAAUUGGCACGGCACCUGCAGGCCGAGCCCUGGGUCCCCAUCCCUGCCGAGAGCUCGGCUCUCAGAUCAG